CCUACGGGAGGCUGCAGUAGGGAAUAUUGCUCAAUGGGGGAAACCCUGAAGCAGCAACGCCGCGUGGAGGAUGAAGGUUUUCGGAUUGUAAACUCCUUUUGGUAGAGAAGAGAAUGACGGUAUCUAACGAAUAAGCACCGGCUAACCCCGUGCCAGCAGCCGCGGUAAUACGGAGGGUGCAAGCGUUACUCGGAAUCACUGGGCGUAAAGAGCGCGUAGGCGGGAUAGCAAGUCAGAUGUGAAAUCCUAGGGCUUAACCAUAGAACUGCAUUUGAAACUGUUAUUCUAGAGUAUGGGAGAGGUAGGUGGAAUUCUUGGUGUCGGGGUUAAAUCCGUAGAGAUCAAGAGGAAUACUCAUUGCGAAGGCGACCUGCUAGAACAUACCUGACGCUGAUGCGCGAAAGCGUGUGGAGCACACAGGAUUAGAUACCCCUGUAGUC
Molecule: ribosomal RNA, 440 nt
Filed under: uncultured bacterium
Lineage: Bacteria
Description: partial 16S ribosomal RNA
Rfam family: Bacterial small subunit ribosomal RNA
Source: RNAcentral